UUAAGCGACUAAGCGUACACGGUGGAUGCCCUGGCAGUCAGAGGCGAUGAAGGGCGUGCUAAUCUGCGAUAAGCGCCGGUAAGGUGAUAUGAACCGUUAUAACCGGCGAUACCCGAAUGGGGAAACCCAGUGUGAUUCGUCACACUAUCAUUAACUGAAUCCAUAGGUUAAUGAGGCGAACCGGGGGAACUGAAACAUCUAAGUACCCCGAGGAAAAGAAAUCAACCGAGAUUCCCCCAGUAGCGGCGAGCGAACGGGGAGGAGCCCAGAGCCUGAAUCAGCAUGUGUGUUAGUGGAAGCGUCUGGAAAGGCGCGCGAUACAGGGUGACAGCCCCGUACACAAAAGCGCAUGUGCUGUGAGCUCGAUGAGUAGGGCGGGACACGUGGUAUCCUGUCUGAAUAUGGGGGGACCAUCCUCCAAGGCUAAAUACUCCUGACUGACCGAUAGUGAACCAGUACCGUGAGGGAAAGGCGAAAAGAACCCCGGCGAGGGGAGUGAAAAAGAACCUGAAACCGUGUACGUACAAGCAGUGGGAGCCCCACCACUAAGCCAGUGGUGAACUCCACAUCCGCAUCCUUUGCUGAGGAUACGGUUAACGGAGCGAAAGCGACGUUCAACCGCAAAACAAGCAGAGGGGGCUUAGUGGUGGGGUGACUGCGUACCUUUUGUAUAAUGGGUCAGCGACUUAUAUUCUGUAGCAAGGUUAACCGAAUAGGGGAGCCGGAGGGAAACCGAGUCUUAAUUGGGCGUUAAGUUGCAGGGUAUAGACCCGAAACCCGGUGAUCUAGCCAUGGGCAGGUUGAAGGUUGGGUAACACUAACUGGAGGACCGAACCGACUAAUGUUGAAAAAUUAGCGGAUGACCUGUGGCUGGGGGUGAAAGGCCAAUCAAACCGGGAGAUAGCUGGUUCUCCCCGAAAGCUAUUUAGGUAGCGCCUCGUGAAUUCAUCUCCGGGGGUAGAGCACUGUUUCGGCUAGGGGGCCAUCCCGGCUUACCAACCCGAUGCAAACUGCGAAUACCGGAGAAUGUUAUCACGGGAGACACACGGCGGGUGCUAACGUCCGUCGUGAAGAGGGAAACAACCCAGACCGCCAGCUAAGGUCCCAAAGUCAUGGUUAAGUGGGAAACGAUGUGGGAAGGCCCAGACAGCCAGGAUGUUGGCUUAGAAGCAGCCAUCAUUUAAAGAAAGCGUAAUAGCUCACUGGUCGAGUCGGCCUGCGCGGAAGAUGUAACGGGGCUAAACCAUGCACCGAAGCUGCGGCAGCGAACGUAUCACUUAAAGCGAUUCAGCGGGUUACGAUUGACGGAGCGAAGCGACGUCAAAGCGUAUACAAAGUCGAGUCGGUUUAAGGAUACGUUCGUUGGGUAGGGGAGCGUUCUGUAAGCCCGUGAAGGUGGCCUGUGAGGGUUGCUGGAGGUAUCAGAAGUGCGAAUGCUGACAUAAGUAACGAUAAAGCGGGUGAAAAGCCCGCUCGCCGGAAGACCAAGGGUUCCUGUCCAACGUUAAUCGGGGCAGGGUGAGUCGACCCCUAAGGCGAGGCCGAAAGGCGUAGUCGAUGGGAAACGGGUUAAUAUUCCCGUACUUGGUGUUACUGCGAAGGGGGGACGGAGAAGGCUAUGUUGGCCGGGCGACGGUUGUCCCGGUUUAAGCGUGUAGGUGUGUGUUCCAGGUAAAUCCGGUUCACUUUAACACUGAGGCGUGAUGACGAGGCACUACGGUGCUGAAGCAACAAAUGCCCUGCUUCCAGGAAAAGCCUCUAAGCAUCAGGUAACAUCAAAUCGUACCCCAAACCGACACAGGUGGUCAGGUAGAGAAUACCAAGGCGCUUGAGAGAACUCGGGUGAAGGAACUAGGCAAAAUGGUGCCGUAACUUCGGGAGAAGGCACGCUGACACGUAGGUGAAGUGAUUUACUCACGGAGCUGAAGUCAGUCGAAGAUACCAGCUGGCUGCAACUGUUUAUUAAAAACACAGCACUGUGCAAACACGAAAGUGGACGUAUACGGUGUGACGCCUGCCCGGUGCCGGAAGGUUAAUUGAUGGGGUCAGCGCAAGCGAAGCUCCUGAUCGAAGCCCCGGUAAACGGCGGCCGUAACUAUAACGGUCCUAAGGUAGCGAAAUUCCUUGUCGGGUAAGUUCCGACCUGCACGAAUGGCGUAAUGAUGGCCAGGCUGUCUCCACCCGAGACUCAGUGAAAUUGAACUCGCUGUGAAGAUGCAGUGUACCCGCGGCAAGACGGAAAGACCCCGUGAACCUUUACUAUAGCUUGACACUGAACAUUGAGCCUUGAUGUGUAGGAUAGGUGGGAGGCUUUGAAGUGUGGACGCCAGUCUGCAUGGAGCCGACCUUGAAAUACCACCCUUUAAUGUUUGAUGUUCUAACGUGGACCCGUAAUCCGGGUUGCGGACAGUGUCUGGUGGGUAGUUUGACUGGGGCGGUCUCCUCCUAAAGAGUAACGGAGGAGCACGAAGGUUGGCUAAUCCUGGUCGGACAUCAGGAGGUUAGUGCAAUGGCAUAAGCCAGCUUGACUGCGAGCGUGACGGCGCGAGCAGGUGCGAAAGCAGGUCAUAGUGAUCCGGUGGUUCUGAAUGGAAGGGCCAUCGCUCAACGGAUAAAAGGUACUCCGGGGAUAACAGGCUGAUACCGCCCAAGAGUUCAUAUCGACGGCGGUGUUUGGCACCUCGAUGUCGGCUCAUCACAUCCUGGGGCUGAAGUAGGUCCCAAGGGUAUGGCUGUUCGCCAUUUAAAGUGGUACGCGAGCUGGGUUUAGAACGUCGUGAGACAGUUCGGUCCCUAUCUGCCGUGGGCGCUGGAGAACUGAGGGGGGCUGCUCCUAGUACGAGAGGACCGGAGUGGACGCAUCACUGGUGUUCGGGUUGUCAUGCCAAUGGCACUGCCCGGUAGCUAAAUGCGGAAGAGAUAAGUGCUGAAAGCAUCUAAGCACGAAACUUGCCCCGAGAUGAGUUCUCCCUGAGACUUAGAGUCUCCUGAAGGAACGUUGAAGACGACGACGUUGAUAGGCCGGGUGUGUAAGCGCAGCGAUGCGUUGAGCUAACCGGUACUAAUGAACCGUGAGGCUUAACCU
Molecule: ribosomal RNA, 3085 nt
Filed under: Salmonella enterica subsp. enterica serovar Typhimurium
Lineage: Bacteria; Pseudomonadati; Pseudomonadota; Gammaproteobacteria; Enterobacterales; Enterobacteriaceae
Also listed under: 1 other name
Description: 23S ribosomal RNA
Rfam family: Bacterial large subunit ribosomal RNA
Source: RNAcentral